Long non-coding RNA from Prosopis cineraria, 1446 nucleotides. RefSeq lists it as uncharacterized. Lineage: Eukaryota; Viridiplantae; Streptophyta; Magnoliopsida; Fabales; Fabaceae. The record is from RefSeq and is a predicted model, not a curated record. The transcript is spliced from 2 exons.
GCAGUAUUGUUGUGCGUUUUUUGUAUUACAAGUGCAUCUUUAUACGUGUAAAUAUGUUAUGCUUCCAUGGUUCAAAAUUUAUGGGUCUGUCAUUGUUGAUCCACAUACUUUUAAUUUGUUUUUAUAUUUAUCCCCUUUUGGUGUUGCUUCUAGCCUAUUAAGUCUCAUCUUUUUGCAAUAUUAGUUUCUAGAUUUUUAAAUAGGGUUAACGUACAAAAAUGCUAUCAAUGUUUUCUUCCAGGCACACCUCAUAUUUUAAACUAUUUGUUAACACAAUUUCACCCCCCCAUGUAUUUUUUUGAGUACAAUAUUGCCAUACCGUUACCUUUUGAUUGUUUUGACAGUUAUGUUUGAAAUUUUGAUCAUUUUCUACCAUCCUGGAUUGCGACCUCAUGUUCAUAUUUAUGUGAAAAAUGGAAAGCUCCAUGUAGAUGUUUGAAAUUAGUUCCGGUUUCUCCUUCCUCUGCCCUUCAUAAUCCAUUGCUUUGAACCCUUCCCUUCCCCAUCUUCUCCUGCCACUCUCUUCUCCUUCUACAUCUUCUUUGUGUUGAGUUAUGGAGGAAACAAGAGCACAAUAGUGGAUCUUGAUUUGGAUUCCAUGGCUGUGCUGAUGAUGACAACAAGAGAACAUUCCUCCUCCUUCUAUGGCGCUAACGAAGAGAAUGAGAAUAUGUUCCUCUUUGUGUGUCAACUAUGGGUUUCUGGGUUUGAUUUUUUUAUUUUUGCUUGUGUUCGGUUUGGUAUGAGUUUCGUUGGGUUUGAUCAACAUUGGGAUUUUAUUGGGUUCUAAUUUUUCUAAUUUUUUAGAUCGAAGUGACACCAAUGAAAAUCUUGUGUGCAAGAAGCUGAUGCUGACACCAAGCUUUUUGAAGUGGUUUGGCUCUUUUGAUUUCAAGAUCGUGAAAUGCUCCGACUCUCCAUUCAAAAAUCGAUUGUGUAGGCAAAGGGCGAGGCGCGGAAGUUGAAUCAUCGGAAAUUUAUGGGUUUGCAGUGGUUUAUCAAGAUUUGAACCAGAGCACAAGCUUGCUGGCAUCAUUUUUUUUUUUUUUAUGUUCAUGAUCGUUCUUAAUCGUUUCUGGGUUCAAAUCCUAGUCUUGGCUUGAUUGUUUUAGUUUAUCUGUUUCUGGUAUUGGACUUAAAUUCAUAUAUUUGAGUUCUUGUUUCAUUUUAAUUUGGUUUACUGAUCUGGGUUCAUCCAAUUUGGAUUUAAAUAUGCAGUUAUUAAUCUGGGUUCAUUCGAUCCUUAAGGGAAAUGAAAGGGUGAUGACGACAUGGAAUCAAGAAGAGCUGAGGAAUUGAUCUGAUGUGUAUUUGCUUUUUUUUUUUUAAAUUUUAAAUUUUUCAAAUAUGCCAAGGUGGCAAAUAAAGGUUUGACUAAUAGUUAACAUAGUUAAACCCUAACAGUAGGCGACAUUUUAUUUAAAUAAAGAAAAUGUUGGGGUGGAA